CCGGGCGGGUGAGGGAGGCGGGAGGCGGCCCCGAUGCACUUUACCGGCGCCCUGGAGCCCAGCCUGCCCCGCCAAGCAUGCAGCGCCGCCCGGGAGCCGCGGACGCCGCCUCGGUUUUGCUGUUUGCUUGGUUCCAUUUUUCUUUCUUUUUUUUUUUAAAGAAAAAAUAAAAGGUGGAUUU
Molecule: long non-coding RNA, 181 nt
Organism: Cebus imitator (Panamanian white-faced capuchin)
Lineage: Eukaryota; Metazoa; Chordata; Mammalia; Primates; Cebidae
Exons: 2
Source: RefSeq, a predicted model, not a curated record